GCCUCUAUAGCUCAGCGGAAGAGCAGGAAUCUUCUAAGUUCUUGGUCGGGAGUUCGAAUCUCUCUAGGGGCGC
RNAcentral lists this transfer RNA (73 nucleotides) under Arthrobacter phage Racecar. RNAcentral describes it as "tRNA-Arg". It matches the Rfam family "tRNA". Rfam says of the family: Transfer RNA (tRNA) molecules are approximately 80 nucleotides in length. Their secondary structure includes four short double-helical elements and three loops (D, anti-codon, and T loops). Lineage: Duplodnaviria; Heunggongvirae; Uroviricota; Caudoviricetes. The record is from RNAcentral.